UAACACUUAUUUAAAAGUGCUAUUAAUAAGCAAUUAAAAAAACACAUUGCCCCAUAUGUGAAAUUUCAUUUGGCGCCAUAUGAAAUAUAUAACUAGGCGCCAAAUGAAAAUAAGAGACACGGAAGCACACAGUAAACUAGUCUCAACCUCCGAACCCCUAGCCUCCAUUGAAUCCCUAAUUUCUACUUUCGUCUCUUUGCCUCUCUUUCUUUCUUUCUUUCUUUCAUCUCUUUGCCUCUCUUUGCUUCUCUCUGCUUCUCUUUCUUUCUGGUUUCCUAGUCUCUUUCUUGCUUCUCAGCUUCUCUUUCUUUCUCUUUUUUUUUCUUCUACACAAUCACGUUAUUCUCCUCCACUCACUCUCGUCUACCCAACCACUCACUCACUAAUUUCUGGUUUCGUCUCGUCAUUCUCUGCCUCAUGCGAGUCUCUGAAGCACACGACGUCGGUGAGAGCUUCCAGAGGACACAACGGAGGUCAUUUUUCUGGUUGUCUCGUCUAUCUCUGCCUCACAUAAUGAUUCUCCCCUGCUGGAAGCAAGAACAUCUUUGCGAGGUGAGUUUUUUUUAUAAAAAUUUCAUAUAAUCAAUAUAUAAAUAUAGGGUGAACUUCUAGGGUGAUUUAUAAUCUAAUUUCAUUUUUUUUAUAUUAUAUUCAAAGCUAGAGAAAUAACAAAACCUGUGUGCAUACAACACAUAUACAUAUAUAUAGUAGCAUUUUGUGUUUCAUCUCGAUUUUGUGUUUCAUCUCAAGGCUUUAGCGCCCCUGGCCGUUCAUAUCCAUGAUCAUCAGCGUUCCAUGGA
Humulus lupulus (European hop) is the source of this 800-nucleotide long non-coding RNA. RefSeq lists it as uncharacterized. NCBI's taxonomy places the organism in Eukaryota, Viridiplantae, Streptophyta, Magnoliopsida, Rosales, Cannabaceae. The transcript has 2 exons. The record is from RefSeq and is a predicted model, not a curated record.